Molecule: RNA transcript, 4050 nt
Organism: Dama dama (fallow deer)
Lineage: Eukaryota; Metazoa; Chordata; Mammalia; Artiodactyla; Cervidae
Gene name: cytochrome P450 2D14
Exons: 9
Source: RefSeq, a predicted model, not a curated record
CAGGACAGCAGAGCGCCUCCUGCAGGCUCUCAGUGAGCUAGGGGAGAGCCUCCAGGACCCUCAACUACUCCAGCUGUGUUCAGAAAGAAAGGUUGCCUCAAAUACUCUGGGGAUGGGGGGAGGGGGGUGCAGGGGACUUGACCCCUGCCCAGGAAAUGCCCCCUUCCCCACCCUCUGAGUUCCCUUGCCUUUACAUUUGAAUGAGUUUGGGCCUCUGAGUUCCCAUCAGCUUCACUGGUUUAAAAACUCAACCUCAAAUCUUACCCCUUGAGUUGUUGGAGAGUUCUGAGGCUAGCAGAACCCUGGCAUAAUGUGACCAGCCCCUUGCCUGGAGGAGGCAAGAGGCUGACCAAGAGGGAGUGCCUGGCAGUCGUAAUUGCAGCCUGGAGGUGACACGCACUGGGGCAGGGUGGUACCAAGAUUUGCAUUUGCACCUUUGUGGAGGACUGGAAGGAACCAGAGAGCCAGGGUCGAGGGUAUGGGGCUGCAGCCAGAGUGGACUGGACCCAUGGAGAGAGGGGAGGCCCAGGAAUCCAUUCCUUGAGGUCCUCGGCAGGCCUGUGAGAGGGUCAAGAAACUACAUCCCCGUCUGGUUUCCAUCCCCUUGUCUUCUGAAGUUUUAAAAACUGAUGUUCAAGGACAAAGGCAAAGAGGAACUGAAGAGCCUCUUGAUGAAAGUGAAAGAGGAGAGUGAAAAAGCAGGCUUAAAACGCAACAUGCAAAAAGCUAAGAUCAUGGCAUCCAGUCCCAUCCCUUCAUGGCAAAUAGAUGGGGAAACAAUGGAAACAGUGAGAGGCUUUAUUUUUUGGGGCUCUAAAAUCACUGCAGAUGGUGAUUGCAGCCAUGAAAUUAAAAGACACUUGCUCCUCGGAAGAAGAGCUAUGACCAACCUAGGCAGCAUAUUAAAAAGCAGAGAUGUUCCUUUCCUGACAAAGCUCCGUCUAGUCAAAGCUGUGGUUUUUCCAGUGGUCAUGUAUGGAUGUGAGAGUUGGACUAUACAGAAAGCUGAGCACCGAAGAAUUGAUGCUUUUGAACUGUGAUGUUGGAGAACACCCUUGAGAGUCCCUUGGAUAGCAAGGAGAUCAAACCAAUCAAUCCUAAAGGAGAUCAACCCUGAAUAUUCAUUGGAAGGACUGAUGCUGAAGCUGAAGCUCCAAUACUUUGGCCACCUGAUGGGAAGAACUGACUCACUUGAAAAGACUCUGAUGCUGGGAAAGACUGAAGGUAGGAGGAGAAGGGGACGACAAAGGAUGAGACGGUUGGAUGGCAUCACCGACUUGAUAUGGACAUGAGUUUGAGCAAGUUCCGGGAGUUGGUGAUGUACAAGGAAGCCUGGCAUGCUGCAGUCCAUGGGUUCCAAAGAGUUGGGCAUGACUGAGUGACUGAACUGAAGGACAAAUUUAGGAGGAGGAAGCAGGCCCACUUCCCUAAGGACAGUCGCAGCCUAUGCUAAGCCAUCCUAGAACCCUGAGCUUACUGGCAGCCCAAUCAACAAGGUAAAGUGCCCAGCUUACAUUUUUCCAAGUCAGGAAAUGGACACCUACAUGAGGAAAUUCAUCACCUCGAGGCGACAAGAACUGGAAAGUCCAAGGACCAAUUUCUAACAAACUUAGGAAAGGGCCUCUGGGCAACCAAACUGGCUGGUCAGGUUGAUUAGGGAACUCUGAAAACAAUCCUGCUGCCUCCCUACUCCCAGAUUCAACCUUCCCACCGCCACAACAGGUGGAAACUGAGGCAGCAGCCAGCCACGUGAAGGUGCCGGCGUCACCGUGAGCAGCCUCGAGGUGUAGGGAAGCCGGGGAGUCCAGGCAGCCAGUGAGAACUAGAGACGUUGAUGCUGGGUCUCUGUGAGUGGAAAGUGGUGACACAGGCGUUCAUGGAUGUGGUUUUGUGGGUGUGUAGAUAGGCGUGUGAGCAUGGGCUAGUCACUAUGUGAAUAUGUGUAAAUGUGGUUUCUGAGUGUGUGAUUGUGUGUGUGUUGAGUGUCCUAGUGGGAAGUGAGGGGACACCAAGAACCUUAUCGGUGGUCCCUCUGAUCAUUAGGUCCUCCCUCCAGCACGGGGCAAGGACCAGUAACAUACUUGGAAGGUGAAGGCCACUCAGGAGGAGGACAGGGACAAGUUCUGGGAACGAGGCUGUGACCACAUUAGAGGGUGACAGGUGACAGGUGGGUGGCAGAAUCCAUUCCCAAGACCUUGGAUUCUUGCUCUAAAUCUGCCGAGCAGGGGAGUCAGGCUGGGGGAGGGGGGCUUUUUGUGAUCUCCAGCCACCCUCCAGAAGCACGUGGAGAGCACACGUGACGGACAGUGGCCACCCGGGAACCUGACUCUCCUUGACUCCUCUCUGUGCCCUCUGGCAGCCCAACCCCUGACAAGAUACCUCAGGGCAGAGGGCAAAGGCCGCUUCUCCGCCCCUUUAUAAAGAGGCCCCAGACUGGUGGAGCUCUGGAGGUGGAGUGGGAGUGCCCCGCUGGCCUGGUCCCGGGUGCCGGUGUGGUGAGGAACCCAGCGCACACGGAGGCAGCCAUGGGGCUGCUGUCUGGGGACACGCUGGGGGCCCUGGCCGUGGCCGUGCUCAUCUUCUCGCUCUUGCUGGACCUGAUGCACCGGCGCUCACGUUGGGCCGCACGCUACCCACCAGGCCCCACGCCGCUGCCCGUGCUGGGUAACCUGCUGCAGGUGGACUUCGAGGACCCGCGUCCCAGCUUUAGCCAGCUGCGGCGCCGCUUCGGGAACGUGUUCAGCCUGCAGCAGGUCUGGACGCCUGUAGUCGUGCUCAACGGGCUGGCGGCAGUGCGCGAGGCGCUGGUGUACCGCAGCCAGGACACUUCCGACCGUCCACCUCCGGCCGUCUACGAGCACCUGGGUUACGGGCCGCGCGCCGAAGGAGUAAUCCUGGCGCGUUAUGGGAACGCGUGGCGGGAGCAGCGGCGCUUCUCCCUGUCCACCCUGCGCAACUUCGGCCUGGGGAAGAAGUCACUGGAGCAGUGGGUGACCGAGGAGGCCUCGUGCCUCUGUGCCGCCUUCGCCGACCAGGCCGGACUCCCGUUUAGCCCCAAAGACCUCCUGAAUAAAGCAGUGAGCAACGUGAUCGCCUCCCUGACCUUCGGAUGCCGUUUCGAGUACAAGGAUCCUCGCAUCGUCAAGCUCUUGGACGUGAUAGAGGAUGUGCUGAAGGAAGAGUUUAACUUAGUGCGCCAGGUGGUGGAAGCUGUGCCAGCGGUCCUGCGCAUCCCAGGGCUGGCCGCCAAGGUCUUCCCGGGGCAGAAGGCCUUCAUGGCCCUGAUUGAUGAGCUGAUCGCUGAGCAGAAGAUGACCCGGGACCCGACCCAGCGACCCCGACACCUGACCGACGCCUUCCUGGAUGAGGUGAAGGAGGCCAAGGGGAACCCCGACAGCAGCUUCAAUGAUGCGAACCUGCGCCUGGUGGUGGCCGACCUGUUCUCCGCCGGGAUGAUCACCACAUCGACCACACUGGCCUGGGCCCUCCUCCUCAUGAUCCUGCACCCAGACGUGCAGCGACGGGUCCAACAGGAAAUCGAUGAGGUGAUAGGGCAGGUGAGGCGACCAGAGAUGGGGGAUCAGGCCCUCAUGCCCUUCACUGUGGCCGUGGUCCAUGAGGUGCAACGCUUUGCGGACAUCAUCCCCCUGGGAGUGCCCCACAUGACAUCCCGGGACAUCGAGGUGCAGGGCUUCCACAUCCCGAAGACAUUUGCCACCAGGGGACGACACUCAUCACCAACCUGUCGUCAGUGCUGAAGGAUGAGACCGUCUGGGAGAAGCCGUUCCGCUUCCACCCGGAGCACUUCCUGGAUGCCCAGGGCCGCUUCGUCAAGCAGGAGGCCUUCAUUCCCUUCUCCGCAGCCUCCUGCAGCGCUUCAGCUUCUCCGUGCCUGCGGGGCAGCCCCGCCCCAGCGACCACGGUGUCUUUGCCUUCCUGGUGACCCCAGGCCUGUACCAGCUUUGUGCGCUGCCCCGCUAGAGGCAGGCACCCAGCCCCCAACCUCAGCGGCAGCCCUGAUGUUCAAUAAACCACUGCCUGGUGGCUCCA